AGCGAACGCUGGCGGCGUGCCUAACACAUGCAAGUCGAACGUGAAAAGGGAAACCUGUGUAAAGUGGCGUAGGGGUGAGUAACGCGUAGGUAAUCUACCCCAGAAUCUGGAAUAACCUGCCGAAAGACGGGCUAAUACUGGAUAGAGCGAGGGAACUCGUAAGAGAGUUUUUCGGGAAAGGGAUCCCGCAAGGGCCUUCGUUCUGGGCUGAUCCUGCGUCUCAUUAGCUAGGUGGUAAGGGAACGGCUUACCAAGGCGAUGAUGAGUAGCUGGUCUGAGAGGAAGAUCAGCCAAAAUGGGAACGGAACAAGGGCCAGGAUCCUUACGGGAGGAGCAGGGGGGAAAUAUGCGAAAUGGGGGGCAAUCUGGAGCAAGCACGCCGCGGGGGGGGAGAAGGGCGUCGGGUUGUAAAGGUCUGUCGGAUGGGACGAAAAACUUCAUAGUGAAUAGCUAUGAGGACUGACGGUACCAACAAAGGAAGCACCGGCUAACUCCGUG
This 498-nucleotide ribosomal RNA is filed under the name uncultured bacterium. RNAcentral describes it as "partial 16S ribosomal RNA". It matches the Rfam family "Bacterial small subunit ribosomal RNA", at positions 30 to 507 of the family's 1533-position model. The record is from RNAcentral.